GCUCGUAGUUGAACUUCAGACCUGGCUGGGCGGUCUGCCUAACGGUAUGUACUGUCCGGCUGGGUCUUACCUCUUGGUGAGCCGGCAUGCCCUUCACUGGGUGUGUCGGGGAACCAGGACUUUUACCUNUGAGAAAAUUAGAGUGUUCAAAGCAGGCUUAUGCCCGAAUACAUUAGCAUGGAAUAAUAAAAUAGGACGUGCGGUUCUAUUUUGUUGGUUUCUAGAGUCGCCGUAAUGAUUAAUAGGGAUAGUUGGGGGCAUUAGUAUUCCGUUGCUAGAGGUGAAAUUCUUGGAUUUACGGAAGACUAACUAUUGCGAAAGCAUUUGCCAAGGAUGUUUUCAUUAAUCAAGAACGAAGGUUAGGGGAUCGAAAACGAUCAGAUACCGUUGUAGUCUUAACAGUAAACUAUGCCGACUAGGGAUCGGGCGAACUCAAUUUGAUGUGUCGCUCGGCACCUUACGAGAAAUCACAGUCUUUGGGUUCUGGGGGGAGUAUGGUCGCAAGGCUGAAACUUAAAGGAAUUGACGGAAGGGCACCACCAGGUGUGGAGCCUGCGGCUUAAUUUGACUCAACACGGGGAAACUCACCAGGUCCAGACAUGACUAGGAUUGACAGAUUGAUAGCUCUUUCAUGAUUUUAUGGGUGGUGGUGCAUGGCCGUUCUUAGUUGGUGGAGUGAUUUGUCUGGUUAAUUCCGAUAACGAACGAGACCUUAACCUGCUAAAUAGCCAGGCCGGCUUUUGCUGGUCGCCGGCUUCUUAGAGGGACUGUCUGCGCCUAGCAGACGGAAGUUUGAGGCAAUAACAGGCCUGUGAUGCCCUUAGAUGUUCUGGGCCGCACGCGCGCUACACUGACAGAGCCAGCGAGUUUUUUUCCUUGGCCGGAAGGUCUGGGUAAUCUUGUGAAACUCUGUCGCGCUGGGGAUAGAGCAUUGCAAUUAUUGCUCUUCAACGAGGAAU
This 959-nucleotide ribosomal RNA is filed under the name uncultured eukaryote. RNAcentral describes it as "SSU rRNA". It matches the Rfam family "Eukaryotic small subunit ribosomal RNA", at positions 626 to 1611 of the family's 1831-position model. The record is from RNAcentral.